RNAcentral lists this transfer RNA (71 nucleotides) under Streptococcus agalactiae GB00561. Its description in RNAcentral is "tRNA-Gly". It matches the Rfam family "tRNA". Rfam says of the family: Transfer RNA (tRNA) molecules are approximately 80 nucleotides in length. Their secondary structure includes four short double-helical elements and three loops (D, anti-codon, and T loops). Lineage: Bacteria; Bacillati; Bacillota; Bacilli; Lactobacillales; Streptococcaceae. The record is from RNAcentral.
GCGGGUGUAGUUUAGGGGUAAAACUACAGCCUUCCAAGCUGUUGUCGCGAGUUCGAUUCUCGUCACCCGCU